Molecule: ribosomal RNA, 749 nt
Filed under: uncultured Mogibacterium sp.
Lineage: Bacteria; Bacillati; Bacillota; Clostridia; Peptostreptococcales; Anaerovoracaceae
Description: bacterial SSU rRNA
Rfam family: Bacterial small subunit ribosomal RNA
Source: RNAcentral
GAUGAACGCUGGCGGCGUGCCUAAUACAUGCAAGUCGAGCGAGAAGCUUGGAAAUGACGCUUCGGUUGAUUUUCCAAGCGGACAGCGGCGGACGGGUGAGUAACGCGUAGGCAACCUACCCCUGACAGAGGGAUAGCCAUUGGAAACGAUGAUUAAAACCUCAUGACACCGUAGUAGCACAUGCUACAUCGGUCAAAGAUUUAUCGGUCAGGGAUGGGCCUGCGUCUGAUUAACUGGUUGGUGAGGUAACGGCUCACCAAGGUGACGAUCAGUAGCCGACCUGAGAGGGUGAUCGGCCACAUUGGAACUGAGACACGGUCCAAACUUCUACGGAAGGCAGCAGUAGGGAAUCUUGCACAAUGGGCGAAAGCCUGAUGCAGCAACGCCGCGUGAAGGAUGAAGGCCUUCGGGUUGUAAACUUCUGUUCUAAGGGAAGAAAGAAAUGACGGUACCUUAGGAGCAAGCCCCGGCUAACUACGUGCCAGCAGCCGCGGUAAUACGUAGGGGGCAAGCGUUAUCCGGAAUUAUUGGGCGUAAAGAGUGCGUAGGUGGUUACCUAAGCGCAAGGUUUAAAUUAGAGGCUCAACCUCUACAUGCCUUGCGAACUGGGCUACUUGAGUGCAGGAGGGGAAAGCGGAAUUCCUAGUGUAGCGGUGAAAUGCGUAGAUAUUAGGAGGAACACCGGCGGCGAAGGCGGCUUUCUGGACUGUAACUGACACUGAGGCACGAAAGCGUGGGUAGCAAACAGG